Molecule: non-coding RNA, 114 nt
Filed under: Paenibacillus selenitireducens
Lineage: Bacteria; Bacillati; Bacillota; Bacilli; Caryophanales; Paenibacillaceae
Description: Glycine sequence
Rfam family: Glycine riboswitch aptamer
About the family: This family represents the bacterial glycine riboswitch. Glycine riboswitches usually consist of two metabolite-binding aptamers domains with similar structures in tandem. The aptamers cooperatively bind glycine to regulate the expression of downstream genes.
Source: Rfam by way of RNAcentral
GGACAGGACUCUGGAGAGACUCCGUGGAUGGAGCACCGAAGGGGCAAUACGCGAUCAGGGAACAGUAUCUUAUGACGCGUUAAAACUCUCAGGUAAAAGGACAGGGAUUGCAAG